RNAcentral lists this ribosomal RNA (253 nucleotides) under uncultured bacterium. Its description in RNAcentral is "partial 16S ribosomal RNA". It matches the Rfam family "Bacterial small subunit ribosomal RNA", at positions 524 to 776 of the family's 1533-position model. The record is from RNAcentral.
UACAGAGGUGGCAAGCGUUGUUCGGAAUUACUGGGCGUAAAGGGCGCGUAGGCGGCCUACUAAGUCAGACGUGAAAUCCCCAGGCUUAACUUGGGAACUGCGUCUGAUACUGGAAAGCUCGAGUCCGGGAGAGGUGAGUGGAACUGCGAGUGUAGAGGUGAAAUUCGUAGAUAUUCGCAAGAACACCAGUGGCGAAGGCGGCUCACUGGCCCGGUACUGACGCUGAGGUGCGAAAGCGUGGGGAGCAAACAGG